CAGGCAGGCCAGCAGGAGGGAGAGAGCGAGAGAGAGAGAGCAGGCAGGCCAGCAGGAGGGAGAGAGCGAGAGAGAGAGCAGGCAGGCCAGAAGGAGGGAGAGAGCGAGAGAGAGAGAGAGCAGGCAGGCCAGCAGGAGGAGAGAGAAAGACAGAGCAGGCAGGCCAGCAGGAGGGGGAGAGAGAGAGCAGGCAGGCCAGCAGGAGGGAGAGAGAGAGAGAGCAGGCAGGCCAGCAGGAGGGAGAGAGCGAGAGCAGGCAGGCCAGCAGGAGGGGGAGAGAGCGAGAGCAGGCAGGCCAGCAGGAGGGAGAGAGAGAGAGAGCAGGCAGGCCAGCAAGAGGGGAGAGAGAGAGCAGGCAGGCCAGCAAGAGGGGGAGAGAGAGAGCAGGCAGGCCAGCAGGAGGGGGAGAGAGGAGGGGAAGGCAGAAGUGUGCUCAUAUGUUUUGGUAAUCUGCAUCUCACAAUGUCUGGUCUUGCAUGCUUUACAAAUUCACCAAAGUAGCCUAAAGUUCACCUUCACCCUGUAUUUUCAUCAAGGCCUUAGUUUGUCAACGUGACCACCAGCCCAGGGCGUAUCUACCCUUCUCUGUUCCUGCCUCUAACUUCCCUCUGUAACUGGGUAUAUAAUACAAACCAACACAGUGAUCCAUUCAGCACCGAGACUCACAAGAAACUAGUCCAACCAAAACACAGCAGAGAAAGAAUGAGGCUCGUCCAACCAAAACACAGCAGAGAAAGAAUGAGGCUCGUCCAACCAAAACACAGCAGAGAAAGAAAGAGGCUCGUCCAACCAAAACACAGCAGAGAAAGAAAGAGGCUCGUCCAACC
Molecule: long non-coding RNA, 827 nt
Organism: Oncorhynchus tshawytscha (Chinook salmon)
Lineage: Eukaryota; Metazoa; Chordata; Actinopteri; Salmoniformes; Salmonidae
Source: Ensembl